CCCAUUGAUUGACGGUGCUUGCAUCUGAUUGAUUUUGGUUGCCAACGAGUGGCGGACGGGUGAGUAACACGUAGGUAACCUGCCCAGAAGUGGGGGACAACAUUUGGAAACAGAUGCUAAUACCGCAUAACAGCGUUGUUCGCAUGAACAACGCUUAAAAGAUGGCUUCUCGCUAUCACUUCUGGAUGGACCUGCGGUGCAUUAGCUUGUUGGUGGGGUAACGGCCUACCAAGGCGAUGAUGCAUAGCCGAGUUGAGAGACUGAUCGGCCACAAUGGGACUGAGACACGGCCCAUACUCCUACGGGAGGCAGCAGUAGGGAAUCUUCCACAAUGGGCGCAAGCCUGAUGGAGCAACACCGCGUGAGUGAAGAAGGGUUUCGGCUCGUAAAGCUCUGUUGUUAAAGAAGAACACGUAUGAGAGUAACUGUUCAUACGUUGACGGUAUUUAACCAGAAAGUCACGGCUAACUACGUGCCAGCAGCCGCGGUAAUACGUAGGUGGCAAGCGUUAUCCGGAUUUAUUGGGCGUAAAGAGAGUGCAGGCGGUUUUCUAAGUCUGAUGUGAAAGCCUUCGGCUUAACCGGAGAAGUGCAUCGGAAACUGGAUAACUUGAGUGCAGAAGAGGGUAGUGGAACUCCAUGUGUAGCGGUGGAAUGCGUAGAUAUAUGGAAGAACACCAGUGGCGAAGGCGGCUACCUGGUCUGCAACUGACGCUGAGACUCGAAAGCAUGGGUAGCGAACAGGAUUAGAUACCCUGGUAGUCCAUGCCGUAAACGAUGAGUGCUAGGUGUUGGAGGGUUUCCGCCCUUCAGUGCCGGAGCUAACGCAUUAAGCACUCCGCCUGGGGAGUACGACCGCAAGGUUGAAACUCAAAGGAA
This 878-nucleotide ribosomal RNA is filed under the name uncultured bacterium. RNAcentral's name for it is "bacterial SSU rRNA". It matches the Rfam family "Bacterial small subunit ribosomal RNA", at positions 62 to 909 of the family's 1533-position model. The record is from RNAcentral.